Molecule: non-coding RNA, 589 nt
Organism: Nicotiana tabacum (common tobacco)
Lineage: Eukaryota; Viridiplantae; Streptophyta; Magnoliopsida; Solanales; Solanaceae
Source: RefSeq, a predicted model, not a curated record
CUCAGCUCACUUCUCACUCCUCAGAAAGUCAAUUCCGAUUUAGGGCGAUAGUUUCACAAAUUUCGGGUAAACGAAGACCAAAUAUAGAAAGAGAUCGGUUGUUGUUGCAAUAGUUUCACAAAUUCAGAAAGAUAUCGGCUGCUGUUUCAGAAGCUUGCUGGGACUUCAAAGAGAUCGGCUGUUAAUCAAAAUUCAAAGGUGUUUCCUGAAAUAUUGGUUGUUCAGGUGUUCUUGGCAUUGGCAGUGUGAAAUGUUGGAUGUUCAGAUGAAGGUUGGCUUGAGAUAUGAUACUUGAUAAAGCAAUAACUAAAUAUAUAGCGGAUCAGAGGGAGGCGCCGAGUUGUACAGGUUAAGUUGCCGACCGGGAGAAGUUGGACUUUGUGUUGGGCUGUUAUCAAUUGUUGGAAAGUGACAUUGUCGGGAGAGGAACCAGAGUAGGGAAUAUUUUCUUAGGAAUGAUAAGGCACAAGUUGAGUAGAUACCGGAGGAAAUAGUGACGUAAAAGUUGCAACAGAAUUGGAGAAGACAAUCACGAGGACUUAUAAAUAUUUUGGAGAAUGGCCAAUGGGUGUUUAAGGAUAAAGAAGAA